This is a microRNA of Caenorhabditis elegans, 23 nucleotides long. NCBI's taxonomy places the organism in Eukaryota, Metazoa, Nematoda, Chromadorea, Rhabditida, Rhabditidae. The record is from Ensembl.
ACCUGGCCAGGCAUUCCAACUGU